RNAcentral lists this ribosomal RNA (404 nucleotides) under uncultured bacterium. Its description in RNAcentral is "partial 16S ribosomal RNA". It matches the Rfam family "Bacterial small subunit ribosomal RNA", at positions 28 to 526 of the family's 1533-position model. The record is from RNAcentral.
GAUGAACGCUGACAGAAUGCUUAACACAUGCAAGUCAACUGUGGCGGACGGGUGAGUAACGCGUAAAGAACUUGCCUCACAGAUAGGGACAACAUUUGGAAACGAAUGCUAAUACCUGAUACUGUGAGAGAGCUUUGCGUCCCAUUAGCUUGUUGGAGAGGUAACGGCUCACCAAGGCGAUGAUGGGUAGCCGGCCUGGGAGGGUGAUCGGCCACAAGGGGACUGGGACACGGCCCUUAAUCCUACGGGAGGCAGCAGUGGGGAAUAUUGGAAAAUGGACCAAAGUAUGAUCAAGCAAUUCUGUGUGCACGAUGAUGUUUUAGGAAUGAAAAGUGCUUUCAGUUGGGAAGCGGUACCAACAGAAGAAGUGACGGCUAAAUACGUGCCAGCAGCCGCGGUAAUAC